UGACCGCUGGCGGCGUGCCUAAUACAUGCAAGUCGAGCGACCAGACGAGGAGCUUGCUCCUCUGACGUUAGCGGCGGACGGGUGAGUAACACGUGGAUAACCUACCUAUAAGACUGGGAUAACUUCGGGAAACCGGAGCUAAUACCGGAUAAUAUAUUGAACCGCAUGGUUCAAUAGUGAAAGACGGUUUUGCUGUCACUUAUAGAUGGAUCCGCGCCGCAUUAGCUAGUUGGUAAGGUAACGGCUUACCAAGGCGACGAUGCGUAGCCGACCUGAGAGGGUGAUCGGCCACACUGGAACUGAGACACGGUCCAGACUCCUACGGGAGGCAGCAGUAGGGAAUCUUCCGCAAUGGGCGAAAGCCUGACGGAGCAACGCCGCGUGAGUGAUGAAGGUCUUCGGAUCGUAAAACUCUGUUAUUAGGGAAGAACAAAUGUGUAAGUAACUAUGCACGUCUUGACGGUACCUAAUCAGAAAGCCACGGCUAACUACGUG
This 495-nucleotide ribosomal RNA is filed under the name uncultured bacterium. Its description in RNAcentral is "partial 16S ribosomal RNA". It matches the Rfam family "Bacterial small subunit ribosomal RNA", at positions 30 to 507 of the family's 1533-position model. The record is from RNAcentral.